RNAcentral lists this ribosomal RNA (494 nucleotides) under uncultured bacterium. Its description in RNAcentral is "partial 16S ribosomal RNA". It matches the Rfam family "Bacterial small subunit ribosomal RNA", at positions 28 to 507 of the family's 1533-position model. The record is from RNAcentral.
GACGAACGCUGGCGGCGUGCUUAACACAUGCAAGUCGAACGGUGAAGCGCCUUCCUUUUUGGUGGGUGUGGAUGAGUGGCGAACGGGUGAGUAACACGUGAGUAACCUGCCCCCUUCUUCGGAAUAACCCCAUGAAAGGUUGGCUAAUCCGGGUAAUUCUGGGUCUUUGCCAUGAUGGGUCGGGGAAGGAUAUUGUUUCGGUGGGGGAUGGGCUCGCGGCCUAUCAGCUUGUUGUUGGGGUGAUGGCCUACAAAGGCGGUGACGGGUAGCCGGCCUGAGAGGGUGGACGGUCACACUGGGACUGAGACACGGCCCAGACUCCUACGGGAGGCAGCAGUGGGGAAUAUUGCACAAUGGGCGCAAGCCUGAUGCAGCGACGCCGCGUGAGGGAUGGAGGCCUUCGGGUUGUGAACCUCUUUCGCCAGUGAAGCAGGCCUGCCUCGUUUGUGGGUGGGUUGACGGUAGCUGGAUAAGAAGCGCCGGCUAACUACGUG